GGCCCGAGCGCUUGGAACGGUGACGAGAGUAUCCACACACAGACGACGCGCGCAAACAAACACGAAUGUUGCCCAGAAUUUUUGUAUGGGCAAAUUCGCUCCAUCGAAGCUGAUAACAGGCCGCCAGUGAGUCACAUUAUGUACAAAAUACAUUCUCAUUUGAAGAGUGCAGCAGACAAGCGUCAACUAUGUAUUUGUACGAGUACAUACGGCAUCCAAACAUAUAUACGAUUACGUGUAGAUCUAUGACGAUCAAUUGCUUAACUUAACAAAAUUGUAAAUUAUGACAGAAACGUAUUAAAUAUACAAUAAAAACAUA
Long non-coding RNA from Drosophila miranda, 319 nucleotides. RefSeq lists it as uncharacterized. Lineage: Eukaryota; Metazoa; Arthropoda; Insecta; Diptera; Drosophilidae. The record is from RefSeq and is a predicted model, not a curated record. The transcript has 2 exons.